CCUACGGGCGGCAGCAGUAGGGAAUAUUGCUCAAUGGGGGAAACCCUGAAGCAGCAACGCCGCGUGGAGGAUGAAGGUUUUCGGAUUGUAAACUCCUUUUGUUAGAGAAGAUAAUGACGGUAUCUAACGAAUAAGCACCGGCUAACUCCGUGCCAGCAGCCGCGGUAAUACGGAGGGUGCAAGCGUUACUCGGAAUCACUGGGCGUAAAGAGGGCGUAGGCGGGAUAGCAAGUCAGAUGUGAAAUCCUAUGGCUUAACCAUAGAACUGCAUUUGAAACUGUUAUUCUAGAGUAUGGGAGAGGUAGGUGGAAUGCUUGGUGUAGGGGUAAAAUCCGUAGAGAUCAAGAGGAAUACUCAUUGCGAAGGCGACCUGCUAGAGCCUAACUGACGCUGAUGCGCGAAAGCGUGGGGAGCAAACAGGAUUAGAUACCCGUGUAGUC
RNAcentral lists this ribosomal RNA (440 nucleotides) under uncultured bacterium. RNAcentral's name for it is "partial 16S ribosomal RNA". It matches the Rfam family "Bacterial small subunit ribosomal RNA", at positions 338 to 795 of the family's 1533-position model. The record is from RNAcentral.